UAUUAAAAAAUUCAUCCAUCUACUAUUAUAAAUUGACGUGACUGACGAAGUAACCUGACAGUUACAUGUGGCGUGCCAUGUGUACCUCAUACUGACGUAUAGAGACUAGUUUUUAACAAUAGAAAUUGAUGAAUUUUUUAAUA
Gossypium raimondii (Peruvian cotton) is the source of this 143-nucleotide non-coding RNA. The record is from Rfam. Lineage: Eukaryota; Viridiplantae; Streptophyta; Magnoliopsida; Malvales; Malvaceae.